GAAAGAUGAUGAAGACAAAUCCUAAACAGGGCUUCCUGUUUGCUUAAACCUCCAACCCAAGAGAAAAUCGCUUCCAGUUUCUCUGUAGAAUCAUGGAGUUGACAUCUGUGUGACAAAAAGGAAAAAACUGCUAUUUAAAAACACAACUGGUGACAGCUACAUCUGCCCCAAUAGGAAGGGAGCAUGUGUGGACUGGAGGUCAUCAUUGCAUGGUUCACGAGAUUGAGUCUUGUGUUGAGCUCUGCGCUGACAGAGUGGAUCUUCCUUGGGAAGAUCUACAUGAAAGGUCUACAUGAUAUACAGCAAUAAAAGUUUUUCCUCAUGAGGAUAAGACCAAGAAUCGCACGCAUCCUGGCAAGCUAUUAAUCUGGUGCCAUUUAAACGAAUUAUCUGUCCACCGUGUAGUUCAUGGGUUGAAAAGAACCAGAUUCUGAUUUAAUAAAAAUUGUACUAAAUGGUAUGUGGUAUCCUUGAGAUCUUGGAAUAGUAACAGGGCAUUAGUGGAAAAACUGGUGAUUCAAAUAGUCUGUAGUUUAAUUAAAAGCACUAUACCAGUAUUUGUUUCUUAGUUUUGACAAAUAUAACAUGGUUCUGUCAAUAUUAACAUAAGGGGAAACUGGGUGAAAGCUAUAAAGGAAUUCUCUUUACACUCUUUUCUACUUUUCUGGAAGUCUAGAAUUAUUCCAAAAUAAAGUAUAAAAUAAAAUACAAUA
Molecule: long non-coding RNA, 713 nt
Organism: Suricata suricatta (meerkat)
Lineage: Eukaryota; Metazoa; Chordata; Mammalia; Carnivora; Herpestidae
Exons: 4
Source: RefSeq, a predicted model, not a curated record